Molecule: ribosomal RNA, 433 nt
Filed under: uncultured bacterium
Lineage: Bacteria
Description: partial 16S ribosomal RNA
Rfam family: Bacterial small subunit ribosomal RNA
Source: RNAcentral
AACGAACGCUGGCGGCAUGCCUAACACAUGCAAGUCGAACGAGACCUUCGGGUCUAGUGGCGCACGGGUGCGUAACGCGUGGUAACCUGCCCUUAGGUUCGGAAUCACUCACCUAAAGAUGUGCUAAUACCAGAUAAUGUCUUCGCACCAAAGAUUUCUCGCCUUUGGAUGGGCCCGCGUUGGAUUAGCUAGUUGGUAGGGUACACGCCUGCCAAGGCGACGAUCCAUAGCUGGUCUGAGAGGAUGAUAAACCACACUGGAACUGAGACACGGCCCAGACUCGUACGGGAGGGAGCGGUAGGGAAUAUUAGAGGCUGAGCGAAAGCCUGAUCCAGCAAUGCCGCGUGAGUGAUGAAGGCGUUAGGAUUGUAAAGCUCUUUUACCCGAGAUGAUAAUGACAGUACCGGGAGAAGAAGCUCCGGCUAACUCCGUG